Molecule: ribosomal RNA, 243 nt
Filed under: uncultured Geobacillus sp.
Lineage: Bacteria; Bacillati; Bacillota; Bacilli; Caryophanales; Anoxybacillaceae
Description: partial 16S ribosomal RNA
Rfam family: Bacterial small subunit ribosomal RNA
Source: RNAcentral
UCUAGAGGGGACUGCCGGCGACAAGUCGGAGGAAGUGGGGAUGACGUCAAAUCAUCAUGCCCUUAUGACCUGGGCUACACACGUGCUACAAUGGGCGGUACAAAGGGCUGCGAACCCGCGAGGGGGAGCGAAUCCCAAAAAGCCGCUCUCAGUUCGGAUUGCAGGCUGCAACUCGCCUGCAUGAAGCCGGAAUCGCUAGUAAUCGCGGAUCAGCAUGCCGCGGUGAAUACGUUCCCGGGCCUU